RNAcentral lists this ribosomal RNA (565 nucleotides) under uncultured bacterium. Its description in RNAcentral is "bacterial SSU rRNA". It matches the Rfam family "Bacterial small subunit ribosomal RNA", at positions 28 to 638 of the family's 1533-position model. The record is from RNAcentral.
AAUGAACGCUGGCGGCAGGCCUAAAACAUGCAAGUCGAACGCUUGUAGCAAUACAAGAGUGGCGCACGGGUGAAUAGCACGUGGGAAUAUGCCUUUUGGUACGGAACAACUCCGGGAAACUGGAGCUAAUACCGUAUGGUCCCUUCGGGGUAAAGAUUUAUCGCCAAAAGAUUAGCCCGCGGUGGAUUAGCUAGUUGGUGAGGUAAUGGCUCACCAAGGCGACGAUCCAUAGCUGGUCUGAGAGGACGAUCAGCCACACUGGGACUGAGACACGGCCCAGACUCCUACGGGAGGCAGCAGUUAGGAAUAUUGGACAAUGGGCGCAAGCCUGAUCCAGCCAUGCCGCGUGAGCGAUGAAGGCCUUCGGGUUGUAAAGCUCUUUAGUCCACGAAUAUAAUGACUGUAGUGGAAGAAUAAGCCCCGGCUAACUUCGUGCCAGCAGCCGCGGUAAUACGAAGGGGGCGAGCGUUAUUCGGAAUCACUGGGCGUAAAGCGUGCGUAGGCUGUUCAGCAAGUCAGAAGUGAAAGCCCAGGGCUCAACCCGGAAGCGCUUUUGAAACUGCUG